Molecule: ribosomal RNA, 279 nt
Filed under: uncultured bacterium
Lineage: Bacteria
Description: partial 16S ribosomal RNA
Rfam family: Bacterial small subunit ribosomal RNA
Source: RNAcentral
UGCCAGCCGCCGCGGUAAUACGGAGGGGGCGAGCGUUAUUCGGAAUUAUUGGGCGUAAAGGGCGCGUAGGUGGCUUGAUAAGUCAGUGGUGAAAUCCCUCGGCUCAACCGAGGAACUGCCUUUGAAACUGUCAAGCUUGAGGCCGGGAGAGGGUGGUGGAAUUCCCGGUGUAGCGGUGAAAUGCGUAGAUAUUGGGGGGAACACCAGUGGCGAAGGCGGCCACCUGGACCAAUACUGACGCUGAGGUGCGAAGGCGUGGGUAGCAAACAGGAUUAGAUA